GAUGAAGAACGCAGCGAAAUGCGAUACGUAAUGUGAAUUGCAGAAUUCAGUGAAUCAUCGAGUCUUUGAACGCACAUUGCGCCCCCUGGUAUUCCGGGGGGCAUGCCUGUCCGAGCGUCAUUGCUGCCCUCAAGCACGGCUUGUGUGUUGGGCCUCCGUCCUCCUCCCGGGGGACGGGCCCGAAAGGCAGCGGCGGCACCGCGUCCGGUCCUCGAGCGUAUGGGGCUUCGUCACCCGCUCUUGUAGGCCCGGCCGGCGCUUGCCGCCACAUCAAUCUUUUUUCCAGGUUGACCUCGGAUCAGGUAGGGAUCCCCGCUGAACUUAAGCAUAUCAAUAAGCGGAGGA
Molecule: unclassified non-coding RNA, 345 nt
Filed under: soil metagenome
Description: partial contains 5.8S ribosomal RNA, internal transcribed spacer 2, and large subunit ribosomal RNA
Rfam family: 5.8S ribosomal RNA (bases 1-120)
Source: RNAcentral